This 411-nucleotide ribosomal RNA is filed under the name bacterium enrichment culture clone ALO1_GLFRUDD03F0D4O. RNAcentral's name for it is "bacterial SSU rRNA". It matches the Rfam family "Bacterial small subunit ribosomal RNA", at positions 9 to 420 of the family's 1533-position model. The record is from RNAcentral.
GAGUUUGAUCGUGGCUCAGAUUGAACGCUGGCGGCAUGCCUUACACAUGCAAGUCGAACGGCAGCACGGGAGCUUGCUCCUGGUGGCGAGUGGCGAACGGGUGAGUAAUGCAUCGGAACGUAUCCUGGAGUGGGGGAUAACGUAGCGAAAGUUACGCUAAUACCGCAUAUUCUGUGAGCAGGAAAGCGGGGGGACCUUCGGGCCUCGCGCUCUUGGAGCGGCCGAUGUCGGAUUAGCUAGUUGGUGAGGUAAGGCUCACCAAGGCGACGAUCCGUAGCAGGUCUGAGAGGAUGAUCUGCCACACUGGAACUGAGACACGGUCCAGACUCCUACGGGAGGCAGCAGUGGGGAAUUUUGGACAAUGGGGGCAACCCUGAUCCAGCCAUGCCGCGUGAGUGAAGAAGGCCUCGG